UUGAACGCUGGCGGAAUGCUUUACACAUGCAAGUCGAACGGCAGCACGGGGGCAACCCUGGUGGCGAGUGGCGAACGGGUGAGUAACACAUCGGAACGCGUCCUGUAAUGGGGGAUAACCUGGCGAAAGCCAGGCUAAUACCGCAUACGUCCUGAGGGAGAAAGCGGGGGACCGUAAGGCCUCGCGCGAUUGGAGCGGCCGAUGUCGGAUUAGCUAGUUGGUGGGGUAAAGGCCUACCAAGGCGACGAUCCGUAGCGGGUCUGAGAGGAUGAUCCGCCACACUGGGACUGAGACACGGCCCAGACUCCUACGGGAGGCAGCAGUGGGGAAUUUUGGACAAUGGGGGCAACCCUGAUCCAGCCAUGCCGCGUGAGUGAAGAAGGCCUUCGGGUUGUAAAGCUCUUUCAGACGGAAAGAAAACGCAUCGGUGAAUACCCGGUGUGGAUGACGGUACCGUAAGAAGAAGCACCGGCUAACUACGU
Molecule: ribosomal RNA, 482 nt
Filed under: uncultured bacterium
Lineage: Bacteria
Description: bacterial SSU rRNA
Rfam family: Bacterial small subunit ribosomal RNA
Source: RNAcentral